GGUUAAGCGACUAAGCGUACACGGUGGAUGCCCUGGCAGUCAGAGGCGAUGAAGGACGUGCUAAUCUGCGAAAAGCGUCGGUAAGGUGAUAUGAACCGUUAUAACCGGCGAUGUCCGAAUGGGGAAACCCAGUGCAAUUCGUUGCACUAUCGUUAACUGAAUACAUAGGUUAACGAGGCGAACCGGGGGAACUGAAACAUCUAAGUACCCCGAGGAAAAGAAAUCAACCGAGAUUCCCCCAGUAGCGGCGAGCGAACGGGGAGCAGCCCAGAGUCUGAAUCAGCUUGUGUGUUAGUGGAACGGUCUGGAAAGUCCGACGGUACAGGGUGAUAGUCCCGUACACCAAAAUGCACAGGUUGUGAACUCGAAGAGUAGGGCGGGACACGUGGUAUCCUGUCUGAAUAUGGGGGGACCAUCCUCCAAGGCUAAAUACUCCUGACUGACCGAUAGUGAACCAGUACCGUGAGGGAAAGGCGAAAAGAACCCCGGCGAGGGGAGUGAAAAAGAACCUGAAACCGUGUACGUACAAGCAGUGGGAGCACCUUCGGGUGUGACUGCGUACCUUUUGUAUAAUGGGUCAGCGACUUAUAUUCUGUAGCAAGGUUAACCGUAUAGGGGAGCCGCAGGGAAACCGAGUCUUAACUGGGCGUUAAGUUGCAGGGUAUAGACCCGAAACCCGGUGAUCUAGCCAUGGGCAGGUUGAAGGUUGGGUAACACUAACUGGAGGACCGAACCGACUAAUGUUGAAAAAUUAGCGGAUGACUUGUGGCUGGGGGUGAAAGGCCAAUCAAACCGGGAGAUAGCUGGUUCUCCCCGAAAGCUAUUUAGGUAGCGCCUCGUGAACUCAUCUUCGGGGGUAGAGCACUGUUUCGGCUAGGGGGUCAUCCCGACUUACCAACCCGAUGCAAACUACGAAUACCGAAGAAUGUUAUCACGGGAGACACACGGCGGGUGCUAACGUCCGUCGUGAAGAGGGAAACAACCCAGACCGCCAGCUAAGGUCCCAAAGUCAUGGUUAAGUGGGAAACGAUGUGGGAAGGCACAGACAGCCAGGAUGUUGGCUUAGAAGCAGCCAUCAUUUAAAGAAAGCGUAAUAGCUCACUGGUCGAGUCGGCCUGCGCGGAAGAUGUAACGGGGCUAAACCAUGCACCGAAGCUGCGGCAGCGACACUAUGUGUUGUUGGGUAGGGGAGCGUUCUGUAAGUCUGCGAAGGUGACCUGUGAGGGUUGCUGGAGGUAUCAGAAGUGCGAAUGCUGACAUAAGUAACGAUAAAGCGGGUGAAAAGCCCGCUCGCCGGAAGACCAAGGGUUCCUGUCCAACGUUAAUCGGGGCAGGGUGAGUCGACCCCUAAGGCGAGGCCGAAAGGCGUAGUCGAUGGGAAACAGGUUAAUAUUCCUGUACUUGGUGUUACUGCGAAGGGGGGACGGAGAAGGCUAUGUUAGCCGGGCGACGGUUGUCCCGGUUUAAGCAUGUAGGCUGAUUAUCCAGGCAAAUCCGGAUAAUCAAGGCUGAGGUGUGAUGACGAGGCACUACGGUGCUGAAGUAACAAAUGCCCUGCUUCCAGGAAAAGCCUCUAAGCAUCAGGUAACAUUAAAUCGUACCCCAAACCGACACAGGUGGUCAGGUAGAGAAUACCAAGGCGCUUGAGAGAACUCGGGUGAAGGAACUAGGCAAAAUGGUGCCGUAACUUCGGGAGAAGGCACGCUGGUGUGUAGGUGAAGUCCCUGCGGAUGGAGCUGAGACCAGUCGAAGAUACCAGCUGGCUGCAACUGUUUAUUAAAAACACAGCACUGUGCAAACACGAAAGUGGACGUAUACGGUGUGACGCCUGCCCGGUGCCGGAAGGUUAAUUGAUGGGGUUAUCCGUAAGGAGAAGCUCUUGAUCGAAGCCCCGGUAAACGGCGGCCGUAACUAUAACGGUCCUAAGGUAGCGAAAUUCCUUGUCGGGUAAGUUCCGACCUGCACGAAUGGCGUAAUGAUGGCCAGGCUGUCUCCACCCGAGACUCAGUGAAAUUGAACUCGCUGUGAAGAUGCAGUGUACCCGCGGCAAGACGGAAAGACCCCGUGAACCUUUACUAUAGCUUGACACUGAACAUUGAGCCUUGAUGUGUAGGAUAGGUGGGAGGCUUUGAAGCGUGGACGCCAGUCUGCGUGGAGCCAACCUUGAAAUACCACCCUUUAAUGUUUGAUGUUCUAACGUUGGCCCCUUACCGGGGUUGCGGACAGUGUCUGGUGGGUAGUUUGACUGGGGCGGUCUCCUCCCAAAGCGUAACGGAGGAGCACGAAGGUUAGCUAAUCCUGGUCGGACAUCAGGAGGUUAGUGCAAUGGCAUAAGCUAGCUUGACUGCGAGCGUGACGGCGCGAGCAGGUGCGAAAGCAGGUCAUAGUGAUCCGGUGGUUCUGAAUGGAAGGGCCAUCGCUCAACGGAUAAAAGGUACUCCGGGGAUAACAGGCUGAUACCGCCCAAGAGUUCAUAUCGACGGCGGUGUUUGGCACCUCGAUGUCGGCUCAUCACAUCCUGGGGCUGAAGUAGGUCCCAAGGGUAUGGCUGUUCGCCAUUUAAAGUGGUACGCGAGCUGGGUUUAGAACGUCGUGAGACAGUUCGGUCCCUAUCUGCCGUGGGCGCUGGAGAAUUGAGGGGGGCUGCUCCUAGUACGAGAGGACCGGAGUGGACGCAUCACUGGUGUUCGGGUUGUCAUGCCAAUGGCACUGCCCGGUAGCUAAAUGCGGAAGAGAUAAGUGCUGAAAGCAUCUAAGCACGAAACUUGCCCCGAGAUGAGUUCUCCCUGAGACUUUAAGUCUCCUGAAGGAACGUUAAAGACGAUGACGUUGAUAGGCCGGGUGUGUAAGCGCAGCGAUGCGUUGAGCUAACCGGUACUAAUGAACCGUGAGGCUUAACCUU
RNAcentral lists this ribosomal RNA (2902 nucleotides) under Klebsiella pneumoniae. RNAcentral describes it as "23S ribosomal RNA". It matches the Rfam family "Bacterial large subunit ribosomal RNA". Lineage: Bacteria; Pseudomonadati; Pseudomonadota; Gammaproteobacteria; Enterobacterales; Enterobacteriaceae. The record is from RNAcentral.